CAAAACGUAGCUUAACUUUUAAAGCCCCCCGCUUACACCGGGGAAAUAUCUGUUAAACUCAGAUCGUCUUGA
This 72-nucleotide transfer RNA is filed under the name Scinax littoralis (Rio Verde snouted treefrog). RNAcentral describes it as "tRNA-Val". It matches the Rfam family "tRNA". From Rfam's summary of the family: Transfer RNA (tRNA) molecules are approximately 80 nucleotides in length. The record is from RNAcentral. Lineage: Eukaryota; Metazoa; Chordata; Amphibia; Anura; Hylidae.